AAAUCUCAUUUUUUUUGUUUUGGUCCUCCUCUCUCUUUGCCCAAAUAGAUCUCUCUCUCUCUCUCUCUCUCUCUCUCUUUCCCCUCCUCGUCGCCGUCACCACCACUAUCUUUCGCCCCUUGCUUGACGUCUCUUUCAUCUCCUCCCCGUAGCCAUCUCCCAAUCACAAAUCAAAUCUGGAGAUGCCAGAUCUAGAAGAUGUAGAAACUUCAAAAAAAAAGAAAAAAAAAAAGAAAAAAAAUGUUUCAUUGCACGAAGAUUCAAGGUUUGGGUGGUUGUGGGUUUGAAGACUUUUCUUUAUAACUUUUUGCUUUGUUUAUUUAAUAAAAAAAAUCUUUCAUUGUUGUAACUUGUAUGUGAAAAUGUUGGUUUAUUUGUUUAAUAAAAAAAGUGUAUUCAUUGUUGCUUUGUU
This is a long non-coding RNA of Camellia sinensis, 412 nucleotides long. RefSeq lists it as uncharacterized. Lineage: Eukaryota; Viridiplantae; Streptophyta; Magnoliopsida; Ericales; Theaceae. The record is from RefSeq and is a predicted model, not a curated record.